This 253-nucleotide ribosomal RNA is filed under the name uncultured bacterium. Its description in RNAcentral is "partial 16S ribosomal RNA". It matches the Rfam family "Bacterial small subunit ribosomal RNA", at positions 524 to 776 of the family's 1533-position model. The record is from RNAcentral.
UACGUAGGGUGCAAGCGUUGUCCGGAAUUAUUGGGCGUAAAGCGCGCGCAGGCGGCUAGUUAAGUCAGAUGUGAAAGGCUGCGGCUCAACCGCAGAGCUGCAUCUGAAACUGAUUAGCUUGAGUGUAGGAGAGGAUAGUUGAAUUCCCGGUGUAGCGGUGGAAUGCGUAGAGAUCGGGAGGAACACCAGUGGCGAAGGCGACUGUCUGGACUGUAACUGACGCUGAGGCGCGAAAGCGUGGGGAGCAAACAGG